Molecule: transfer RNA, 61 nt
Filed under: Cricetulus griseus (Chinese hamster)
Lineage: Eukaryota; Metazoa; Chordata; Mammalia; Rodentia; Cricetidae
Rfam family: tRNA
About the family: Transfer RNA (tRNA) molecules are approximately 80 nucleotides in length. Their secondary structure includes four short double-helical elements and three loops (D, anti-codon, and T loops).
Source: Rfam by way of RNAcentral
UAUAGCUCAGUGGUAGAGUGCUUGCCUAGCAUGUACAAGGCCCUGGGUUUAAUUCCCAGUA